This 543-nucleotide ribosomal RNA is filed under the name uncultured archaeon. RNAcentral's name for it is "bacterial SSU rRNA". It matches the Rfam family "Archaeal small subunit ribosomal RNA", at positions 333 to 879 of the family's 1478-position model. The record is from RNAcentral.
CAGCAGGCGCGAAAACUUUGCAAUACACGAAAGUGUGACAGGGCUAUCCCGAGUGCCAUCCGCUGAGGAAGGCUUUUACCCAGUCUAGAACGCUGGGGGAAUAAGGAGAGGGCAAGCCUGGUGUCAGCCGCCGCGGUAAUACCAGCUCUCCGAGUGGUGUGGAUGUUUAUUGGGCCUAAAGCAUCCGUAGCUGGCUAAGUUAGUCCCUUGUUAAAUCCACCGAAUUAAUCGUUGGAUUGCGGGGGAUACUGCUUGGCUAGGGGACGAGAGAGGCAGACGGUAUUUCCGGGGUAGGGGUGAAAUCCUAUAAUCCCGGGAAGACCACCAGUGGCGAAGGCUGUCUGCUAGAACGCGCCCGACGGUGAGGGAUGAAAGCUGGGGGAGCGAACCGGAUUAGAUACCCGGGUAGUCCCAGCUGUAAACGAUGCAGGCUAGGUGUUUGGACGGCCACGUGCCGUUCUAGUGCCGCAGGGAAGCUGUUAAGCCUGCCGCCUGGGGAGUACGAUCGCAAGAUUGAAACUUAAAGGAAUUGGCGGGGAGCAC